UACGAAGGGGGCUAGCGUUGUACGGAAUUACUGGGCGUAAAGCGCACGCAGGCGGAUUUAUAAGUCAGGGGUGAAAUCCCGGGGCUCAACCUCGGAAUUGCCCUUGAUACUGUCGAUCUUGAGUCCGGGAGAGGUGAGUGGAAUUCCUAGUGUAGAGGUGAAAUUCGUAGAUAUUAGGAAGAACACCAGUGGCGAAGGCGGCUCACUGGCCCGGUACUGACGCUCAUGUGCGAAAGCGUGGGGAGCAAACAGG
RNAcentral lists this ribosomal RNA (253 nucleotides) under uncultured bacterium. Its description in RNAcentral is "partial 16S ribosomal RNA". It matches the Rfam family "Bacterial small subunit ribosomal RNA", at positions 524 to 776 of the family's 1533-position model. The record is from RNAcentral.